ACUUAAAUUGAAGAGUUUGAUCAUGGCUCAGAUUGAACGCUGGCGGCAGGCCUAACACAUGCAAGUCGAGCGGUAGCACAGAGAGCUUGCUCUCGGGUGACGAGCGGCGGACGGGUGAGUAAUGUCUGGGAAACUGCCUGAUGGAGGGGGAUAACUACUGGAAACGGUAGCUAAUACCGCAUAAUGUCGCAAGACCAAAGUGGGGGACCUUCGGGCCUCAUGCCAUCAGAUGUGCCCAGAUGGGAUUAGCUAGUAGGUGGGGUAACGGCUCACCUAGGCGACGAUCCCUAGCUGGUCUGAGAGGAUGACCAGCCACACUGGAACUGAGACACGGUCCAGACUCCUACGGGAGGCAGCAGUGGGGAAUAUUGCACAAUGGGCGCAAGCCUGAUGCAGCCAUGCCGCGUGUGUGAAGAAGGCCUUCGGGUUGUAAAGCACUUUCAGCGGGGAGGAAGGCGGUGAGGUUAAUAACCUCACCGAUUGACGUUACCCGCAGAAGAAGCACCGGCUAACUCCGUGCCAGCAGCCGCGGUAAUACGGAGGGUGCAAGCGUUAAUCGGAAUUACUGGGCGUAAAGCGCACGCAGGCGGUCUGUCAAGUCGGAUGUGAAAUCCCCGGGCUCAACCUGGGAACUGCAUUCGAAACUGGCAGGCUAGAGUCUUGUAGAGGGGGGUAGAAUUCCAGGUGUAGCGGUGAAAUGCGUAGAGAUCUGGAGGAAUACCGGUGGCGAAGGCGGCCCCCUGGACAAAGACUGACGCUCAGGUGCGAAAGCGUGGGGAGCAAACAGGAUUAGAUACCCUGGUAGUCCACGCCGUAAACGAUGUCGAUUUGGAGGUUGUGCCCUUGAGGCGUGGCUUCCGGAGCUAACGCGUUAAAUCGACCGCCUGGGGAGUACGGCCGCAAGGUUAAAACUCAAAUGAAUUGACGGGGGCCCGCACAAGCGGUGGAGCAUGUGGUUUAAUUCGAUGCAACGCGAAGAACCUUACCUGGUCUUGACAUCCACAGAACUUUCCAGAGAUGGAUUGGUGCCUUCGGGAACUGUGAGACAGGUGCUGCAUGGCUGUCGUCAGCUCGUGUUGUGAAAUGUUGGGUUAAGUCCCGCAACGAGCGCAACCCUUAUCCUUUGUUGCCAGCGGUCCGGCCGGGAACUCAAAGGAGACUGCCAGUGAUAAACUGGAGGAAGGUGGGGAUGACGUCAAGUCAUCAUGGCCCUUACGACCAGGGCUACACACGUGCUACAAUGGCAUAUACAAAGAGAAGCGACCUCGCGAGAGCAAGCGGACCUCAUAAAGUAUGUCGUAGUCCGGAUUGGAGUCUGCAACUCGACUCCAUGAAGUCGGAAUCGCUAGUAAUCGUAGAUCAGAAUGCUACGGUGAAUACGUUCCCGGGCCUUGUACACACCGCCCGUCACACCAUGGGAGUGGGUUGCAAAAGAAGUAGGUAGCUUAACCUUCGGGAGGGCGCUUACCACUUUGUGAUUCAUGACUGGGGUGAAGUCGUAACAAGGUAACCGUAGGGGAACCUGCGGUUGGAUCACCUCCUUACCUUAAAGAA
This 1554-nucleotide ribosomal RNA is filed under the name Klebsiella pneumoniae. RNAcentral's name for it is "bacterial SSU rRNA". It matches the Rfam family "Bacterial small subunit ribosomal RNA". The record is from RNAcentral. RNAcentral also lists the same sequence under 1 other name. Lineage: Bacteria; Pseudomonadati; Pseudomonadota; Gammaproteobacteria; Enterobacterales; Enterobacteriaceae.